RNAcentral lists this ribosomal RNA (418 nucleotides) under uncultured bacterium. RNAcentral's name for it is "bacterial SSU rRNA". It matches the Rfam family "Bacterial small subunit ribosomal RNA", at positions 355 to 787 of the family's 1533-position model. The record is from RNAcentral.
UGGGGAAUAUUGCACAAUGGGCGAAAGCCUGAUGCAGCAACGCCGCGUGAAGGAAGAAGGGUUUCGGCUCGUAAACUUCUAUCAACAGGGACGAAGAAAGUGACGGUACCUGAAUAAGAAGCCCCGGCUAACUACGUGCCAGCAGCCGCGGUAAUACGUAGGGGGCAAGCGUUAUCCGGAAUUACUGGGUGUAAAGGGUGAGUAGGCGGCAUGGUAAGCCAGAUGUGAAAGCCUUGGGCUUAACCCGAGGAUUGCAUUUGGAACUAUCAAGCUAGAGUACAGGAGAGGAAAGCGGAAUUCCUAGUGUAGCGGUGAAAUGCGUAGAUAUUAGGAAGAACACCAGUGGCGAAGGCGGCUUUCUGGACUGAAACUGACGCUGAGGCACGAAAGCGUGGGGAGCGAACAGGAUUAGAUACCC